Molecule: ribosomal RNA, 253 nt
Filed under: uncultured bacterium
Lineage: Bacteria
Description: partial 16S ribosomal RNA
Rfam family: Bacterial small subunit ribosomal RNA
Source: RNAcentral
GACGGAGGGUGCUAGCGUUGUUCGGAAUGACUGGGCGUAAAGGGCGCGUAGGCGGCUCGUGAAGUCGGGUGUGAAAGCCCGGGGCUCAACCCCGGAACGGCAUCCGAUACUGGCGGGCUUGAGACCGGGAGAGGAGGGUGGAAUACCCAGUGUAGAGGUGAAAUUCGUAGAUAUUGGGUGGAACACCGGUGGCGAAGGCGGCCUGCUGGGACAUGGCUGACGCUGAGGCGCGACAGCGUGGGGAGCAAACAGG